CAAAUGGAAAAACUUUUGUUUGUAAGCUGAUGCCGCUGCCGCCGCUGCUGCUGCUGCGCAAGCGAGACGGAAAAUGGAGUAGCAAACGCAAAAUGUUGCAAUCAUGGCCAACGGACCCACCUUUGACUUGGGGACGACCCCAGCGAUGGCAUUUUAAAUGAUUUUUCGGUGCUGGGAAUCUGUGUGGCAUUUGUUUGGGGCGCCAGGCAGGCCAAGAAGUUGGCGCCAUAACUGAUGCUCGGUCUAGCGGAACGCAUUGCGAAUGGCCCGAGCCGCACUAUUUGAAAACUAUUCAUAACAUUUGUCCAACAAUAGAAAUGAUACUAGUUACAACUA
This is a long non-coding RNA of Drosophila virilis, 336 nucleotides long. RefSeq lists it as uncharacterized. NCBI's taxonomy places the organism in Eukaryota, Metazoa, Arthropoda, Insecta, Diptera, Drosophilidae. The record is from RefSeq and is a predicted model, not a curated record.